RNAcentral lists this ribosomal RNA (253 nucleotides) under uncultured bacterium. Its description in RNAcentral is "partial 16S ribosomal RNA". It matches the Rfam family "Bacterial small subunit ribosomal RNA", at positions 524 to 776 of the family's 1533-position model. The record is from RNAcentral.
UACGGGGGGGGCAAGCGUUGUUCGGAAUUACUGGGCGUAAAGGGUUUGUAGGUGGCCCUCUAAGUCACACGUGAAAUCCCUCAGCUUAACUGGGGAACUGCGUGUGAGACUGGAAGGCUCGAGGGCAGGAGAGGAACGCGGAAUUCCAGGUGUAGCGGUGAAAUGCGUAGAUAUCUGGAGGAACACCGAUGGCGAAGGCGGCGUUCUGGACUGUAUCUGACACUGAAGAACGAAAGCCAGGGGAGCAAACGGG